RNAcentral lists this transfer RNA (90 nucleotides) under Polynucleobacter sp. RNAcentral describes it as "tRNA-Ser". It matches the Rfam family "tRNA". Rfam says of the family: Transfer RNA (tRNA) molecules are approximately 80 nucleotides in length. Their secondary structure includes four short double-helical elements and three loops (D, anti-codon, and T loops). Further hydrogen bonds mediate the characteristic L-shaped molecular structure. tRNAs have two regions of fundamental functional importance: the anti-codon, which is responsible for specific mRNA codon recognition, and the 3' end, to which the tRNAs corresponding amino acid is attached (by aminoacyl-tRNA synthetases). tRNAs cope with the degeneracy of the genetic code in two manners: having more than one tRNA (with a specific anti-codon) for a particular amino acid; and 'wobble' base-pairing, i.e. permitting non-standard base-pairing at the 3rd anti-codon position. Lineage: Bacteria; Pseudomonadati; Pseudomonadota; Betaproteobacteria; Burkholderiales; Burkholderiaceae. The record is from RNAcentral.
GGAAACGUGGCCGAGCGGCUGAAGGCACCGGUCUACUAAACCGGCAUAUUUGUAAAAGUAUCGAGGGUUCGAAUCCCUCCGUUUUCGCCA